This is a non-coding RNA of Ameiurus melas (black bullhead), 76 nucleotides long. The record is from the annotation of a GenBank genome assembly. NCBI's taxonomy places the organism in Eukaryota, Metazoa, Chordata, Actinopteri, Siluriformes, Ictaluridae.
GGGCGCAUGGUGGCGUAGUGGUUAGCACGUUCGCCUCACACCUCCAGUGUUGGGGGUUCGAGCCCUGCUGGGGCCA